AGCACGAGGACUUGCGCAGCUGAACUUCCCAGUAAUGGGCCCAUGCAAAAUGAUCCGGGAGGUACCUGGGCGGAUGUUGUCGGGGCCUGGGGUGGCCGGGCGCAACUAGGUUUGGGGUUUUGCCUAGCACAAUGCGAUUGGGGGGCAUGGCCCGGCAUGAUGCGGUUCGGGGACAUGGCCUGGCGUGAUGCGAUUUGGGGGACAUGGCCUGGCAUGAUGUGAUUGGGGGGGCAUGGCCUGGCAUGAUGUGAUUGGGGGGGCAUGGCCUGGCAUGAUGUGAUUUGGGGGGCAUGGCCUGGCAUGAUGUGAUUGGGGGGACAUGGCCUGGCAUGAUGUGAUUGGGGGGGCAUGGCCUGGCAUGAUGUGAUUUGGGGGGCAUGGCCUGGCAUGAUGUGAUUGGGGGGGCAUGGCCUGGCAUGAUGUGAUUUGGGGGACAUGGCCUGGCAUGAUGUGAUUGGGGGGGCAUGGCCUGGCAUGAUGUGAUUUGGGGGGCAUGGCCUGGCAUGAUGUGAUUUGGGGGACAUUGCCUGGCAUGAUGUGAUUUUGGGGACAUGGCCUGGCAUGAUGUGAUUGGGGGGGCAUGGCCUGGCAUGAUGUGAUUUGGGGGGCAUGGCCUGGCAUGAUGCGAUUUGGGGGCAUGGCCUGGCAUGAUGCGAUUUGGGGGACAUGGCCUGGCAUGAUGCGAUUUGGGGGGCAUGGCCUGGCAUGAUGUGAUUGGGGGGCAUGGCCUGGCAUCAUGCGAUUUGGGGGGCAUGGCCUGGCAUCAUGC
RNAcentral lists this long non-coding RNA (769 nucleotides) under Volvox carteri. Its description in RNAcentral is "long non-coding RNA (VCAR_LNC000371)". Lineage: Eukaryota; Viridiplantae; Chlorophyta; Chlorophyceae; Chlamydomonadales; Volvocaceae. The record is from RNAcentral.